UCUUUUUCCCCACCAUUACACUCAAGUCUUCACCAAUGAAUUAUUAGUAUCAACCCCAGCCAACAAACUCCCUACUUCAUUCACUGUCCGUCAAGUUUCAAGGGGAGUAAAGUACUCUUCUUCUUGCCAAACUUCAAGGAGGUAAGCCUUCUUUGAAUUCUCUUUAAUGCACUCAGGAUUCCACCUACAUUUAUGAACAGCAACUUGGUUAUUUCAGUUCAUUUUGCUGCAUAUAAUCCAACAACGAAACAGCCAUUCAACAAGACAUUCAAGGUAUUUACACUAUUCC
Molecule: long non-coding RNA, 289 nt
Filed under: Salvia miltiorrhiza (redroot sage)
Lineage: Eukaryota; Viridiplantae; Streptophyta; Magnoliopsida; Lamiales; Lamiaceae
Description: long non-coding RNA (SMIL_LNC001742)
Source: RNAcentral